This is a long non-coding RNA of Corapipo altera (White-ruffed manakin), 477 nucleotides long. RefSeq lists it as uncharacterized. Lineage: Eukaryota; Metazoa; Chordata; Aves; Passeriformes; Pipridae. The transcript is spliced from 3 exons. The record is from RefSeq and is a predicted model, not a curated record.
UGUGGUCAGGCAGGAGGGGCCCUGGCCCUGGGCAGCCCCUCAGGGACCCGAGCAGGGGGUGUACGUACGUGAUCAGGAUGGACUGGUUCUCCCGAUCUGGGGAAGAGACAGAAAUACAAUACUUAAAAGUCAAUGAACAACAGAGAAAGAAUGAAACAUGGUUAGUCUUGACAGUGACUUUCCCUGAUUCCCUGCUCUGGAUUGUCCCUUUCACAAAGGAUUCCUUUGCAUGUACCACAAAGACAGAUGACUUGGCAUCGAAAGGCUUGUUCUGAGCCUCAAUUCUCUCCUUCUCUGACUUCCGGAGGUCUGGACUCCACUAGAGGUGAAUGCAAAGCAGAGCAGUCAGAAGAGAAGAGGCAGAACAAGGAUAGACUGGCUACAGGCAGAGCAACAAGGUUUGGGCAAGGCUCUGUGGUGCUGACAUUCCCAUGGAAGAGGAAGGAUUUUGUUGGGCUGAAAAUAAAUCCUUCUUCA